Molecule: ribosomal RNA, 332 nt
Filed under: uncultured bacterium
Lineage: Bacteria
Description: partial 16S ribosomal RNA
Rfam family: Bacterial small subunit ribosomal RNA
Source: RNAcentral
CCUACGGGUGGCAGCAGUGAGGAAUAUUGGUCAAUGGGCUUACGCCUGAACCAGCCAAGUCGCGUGAGGGAAGACUGCCCUAUGGGUUGUAAACCUCUUUUGUCAGGGAGCAACGCCGGCUACGUGUAGCCGGACUGAUAGUACCUGAAGAAAAAGCAUCGGCUAACUCCGUGCCAGCAGCCGCGGUAAUACAGAGGAUGCGAGCGUGAUCCGGAUGUAUUGGGUUUAAAGGGUGCGUAGGCGGUAUGCCAAGUCAGCGGUAAACUAGCGGGGUGAAACCUAGCUCCGCCGUUGAAACUGGCGUUCUUGAGUGGGCGAGAGGUAUGCGGAAU